Non-coding RNA from Acanthosepion pharaonis, 99 nucleotides. NCBI's taxonomy places the organism in Eukaryota, Metazoa, Mollusca, Cephalopoda, Sepiida, Sepiidae. The record is from the annotation of a GenBank genome assembly.
GUUGAAACGCAGGUUAUCAUACGAUCACCGAAGUUAAGCAACGUCGAGUAUAGGCAGUACGUAGAUGGGCGACCGUUUGUGAGUACCAGGCACUGUAAG